GGAUGAGCCCGCGGCCUAUCAGCUUGUUGGUGAGGUAACGGCUCACCAAGGCGACGACGGGUAGCCGGCCUGAGAGGGCGACCGGUCACACUGGGACUGAGACACGGCCCAGACUCCUACGGGAGGCAGCAGUGGGGAAUAUUGCACAAUGGGCGAAAGCCUGAUGCAGCGACGCCGCGUGAGGGAUGACGGCCUUCGGGUUGUAAACCUCUUUCAGCAGGGAAGAAGCGAGAGUGACGGUACCUGCAGAAGAAGCGCCGGCUAACUACGUGCCAGCAGCCGCGGUAAUACGUAGGGCGCAAGCGUUGUCCGGAAUUAUUGGGCGUAAAGAGCUCGUAGGCGGCUUGUCACGUCGGUUGUGAAAGCCCGGGGCUUAACCCCGGGUCUGCAGUCGAUACGGGCAGGCUAGAGUUCGGUAGGGGAGAUCGGAAUUCCUGGUGUAGCGGUGAAAUGCGCAGAUAUCAGGAGGAACACCGGUGGCGAAGGCGGAUCUCUGGGCCGAUACUGACGCUGAGGAGCGAAAGCGUGGGGAGCGAACAGGAUUAGAUACCCUGGUAGUCCACGCCGUAAACGGUGGGCACUAGGUGUGGGCAACAUUCCACGUUGUCCGUGCCGCAGCUAACGCAUUAAGUGCCCCGC
RNAcentral lists this ribosomal RNA (639 nucleotides) under uncultured Streptomyces sp. RNAcentral describes it as "bacterial SSU rRNA". It matches the Rfam family "Bacterial small subunit ribosomal RNA", at positions 223 to 872 of the family's 1533-position model. The record is from RNAcentral. Lineage: Bacteria; Bacillati; Actinomycetota; Actinomycetes; Kitasatosporales; Streptomycetaceae.